GGCCUCAGCAGCACCUGUUCUCGCAAGGUGUCCUGGACACUCAGCACAACUCAGGUCAGACUAGGAACAGCAGGAGAUCAAUAGCCAUGUGUGAGAAGUGGAUUCUUCACUGGACUGCAC
This 120-nucleotide non-coding RNA is filed under the name Macaca mulatta (Rhesus monkey). Lineage: Eukaryota; Metazoa; Chordata; Mammalia; Primates; Cercopithecidae. The record is from RNAcentral.